CUGAUAGACAUUAGCCCCCACGCCUGCGUACACGUUCCCCCAGAGGCCGCCACGCCCGCGUACACACUCCUGUGGAAUCCAUCGCAUUGGUGUACACGCUCCGGCAGAGCCCGCCACACUCACCUAAACCCUAAGAAAAUGGAGGGCCAAGAUUGUGGAUUAAACCAAAGUCUACAUUUCCUCUGUUAAAAAGGCCUAUUCAAGUCAAGGGAACUUUUUAAGGCUCAAGCUCAAGACCUGGAGACACAGCCACCUCCGGCAUGUGUGAAGGGCCAGCUAAGCCCGGGAGUGCUGGUGAGGCUCUGCCUGGAUGCCCCCCUCGCGCCACACCUAGGCCUCAGCGGCAUCUGGAGGCAGAGGAUUCGGAGCUCUUCCCCGGCACAGAGCUUGGAGCCAGGCAGGACGGACGACCCAGCCGAGGUCAAAGCAGGGACAUUUCUCUUCACCCGCCUGGCUAAAUAUCAGAAAAACACUGUCGCUAUGAGCACAUUUUUAUAAAUAUUUGAGUUAAAUCGUUAUUAAAUUGCAUAUGAUUCAUUCCAUAAUUAUGGUUCAGUAGUUC
This 562-nucleotide long non-coding RNA is filed under the name Pan troglodytes (chimpanzee). Its description in RNAcentral is "lncRNA (ENSPTRG00000052941.1)". Lineage: Eukaryota; Metazoa; Chordata; Mammalia; Primates; Hominidae. The record is from RNAcentral.